AUUGAACGCUGGCGGCAGGCCUAACACAUGCAAGUCGAGCGGAUGAAGGGAGCUUGCUCCUGGAUUCAGCGGCGGACGGGUGAGUAAUGCCUGAAUCUGCCUGGUAGUGGGGGAUAACGUCCGGAAACGGGCGCUAAUACCGCAUACGUCCUGAGGGAGAAAGUGGGGGAUCUUCGGACCUCACGCUAUCAGAUGAGCCUAGGUCGGAUUAGCUAGUUGGUGGGGUAAAGGCCUACCAAGGCGACGAUCCGUAACUGGUCUGAGAGGAUGAUCAGUCACACUGGAACUGAGACACGGUCCAGACUCCUACGGGAGGCAGCAGUGGGGAAUAUUGGACAAUGGGCGAAAGCCUGAUCCAGCCAUGCCGCGUGUGUGAAGAAGGUCUUCGGAUUGUAAAGCACUUUAAGUUGGGAGGAAGGGCAGUAAGUUAAUACCUUGCUGUUUUGACGUUACCAACAGAAUAAGCACCGGCUAACUUCGUG
This 482-nucleotide ribosomal RNA is filed under the name uncultured bacterium. RNAcentral describes it as "partial 16S ribosomal RNA". It matches the Rfam family "Bacterial small subunit ribosomal RNA", at positions 30 to 507 of the family's 1533-position model. The record is from RNAcentral.